AACGAACGCUGGCGGCAUGCCUAACACAUGCGAGUCGAACGAGACCUUCGGGUCUAGUGGCGCACGGGUGCGUAACGCGUGGGAACCUGCCCUUAGGUUCGGAAUAACUCCCCGAAAGGGGUGCUAAUACCGGAUAAUGUCUUCGGACCAAAGAUUUAUCGCCUUUGGAUGGGCCCGCGUUGGAUUAGCUAGUUGGUAGGGUAAAAGCCUACCAAGGCGACGAUCCAUAUCUGGUCUGAGAGGAUGAUCAGCCACACUGGGACUGAGACACGGCCCAGACUCCUACGGGAGGCAGCAGUGGGGAAUAUUGGACAAUGGGCGAAAGCCUGAUCCAGCAAUGCCGCGUGAGUGAUGAAGGCCUUAGGGUUGUAAAGCUCUUUUACCCGGGAUGAUAAUGACAGUACCGGGAGAAUAAGCUCCGGCUAACUCCGUG
RNAcentral lists this ribosomal RNA (433 nucleotides) under uncultured bacterium. RNAcentral's name for it is "partial 16S ribosomal RNA". It matches the Rfam family "Bacterial small subunit ribosomal RNA", at positions 29 to 507 of the family's 1533-position model. The record is from RNAcentral.